This is a long non-coding RNA of Dipodomys spectabilis (banner-tailed kangaroo rat), 1491 nucleotides long. RefSeq lists it as uncharacterized. Lineage: Eukaryota; Metazoa; Chordata; Mammalia; Rodentia; Heteromyidae. The transcript has 2 exons. The record is from RefSeq and is a predicted model, not a curated record.
GCUUUGGAGGCUGAAGCUGGGACACUGCUGAGCUCUGAGCUAGAGGGAGACCUUGUCUAUUAAACAACAACAACAACAACAAAACCCACCAAGCCAAAAUGCAAAUUCAGCAAUUCAGCCAUGUCUGGAACACUUAGGAGGCCUGCAACGAGAGAACUUAACUUCCGACUCCUUUCUUGGGCCCACAAGUUAAAAACUCAGGCAUCUCUGCCUUCACUUUUGCAUGUCUCCUUUGCCUCGGAGCCAUCCUUUCCUGCAUUCACCAGGGAUCCUGGUGAGACCGAACUGACCGACUGUAUCAGGGGCUAGCCUGACUCGCCUGACCAAUCCGAGAUCAACCUCAACACCUUUUCCUGUGUGUAAUACCCUGUUUGUAUAACCAGCAACACAACAUGACUAGCAUUGGGGAAAGAAAGAGCAGCCUUCGCAGGGCCGUGACUGAAAGGUAAGAAUGCAUGACCCAGAGAGGCUGCGCAAGCCAAAGCCCCAAAUGCCUUCUUUACAUGCAUGAAUGGGACACAAAUACCACCACAUUCCAAUUCUCCAGUGCUUACAGAAAAACAUAAAAUUAAAUAGCCACAUGCACACACAUACAUACACAAAGAAAACUAGGGAACGCAGAUGGAGAGAGUCAAACUGCACUGGACUACCUAGCCCUGGCAUUCGUGCUUACAUACCUUGUUACCUUCCCUCCCAUCUCCCAGAAUCUCUACUGCACAAUGACUGGUGCUAAAACCCCACAGCUGCCCCUGGGGCUGCUAGGAGAAACCCAGACUUCUGGAAGACUUAGGAAACCACCCAAUGGGUGGCCUCUUCCUAAAACAGAAGGUAUCUGGACUCACAAAGGCACAUUCAGAAGUACUACACUUAAGUGAUUCUCGGAAAAAAUUAAAAGGGAUGGGUGAGUGGUGUUUUAAACACAUUUAGUGUAUUUUCCCUGGAAAUUUCUGGCAAGGAGCUUCACGCUGGAAUGCAUCACUUGGUGAGAAACCACACUACCUUUACAAGGUAAGUUGCAUUUGAAGGGCUCCCAAAGGUUUUGUUUUGCAUAAAUACCCCCUUGUCAUUUUUGGCAUGCACACACCCAGCACAGAUUGGCCCCCCUGGCUGUCAGGCCAGUGCUCACAGGGAGGCAGCUCCCUCUGCCUCUGGUGGACUCUCUAAUGCACACUCUGCCAGGAAGUCAGGGAGGAGGAAACAGCAACAGCAGGAAGGAGGGACUUCUUUUUGAAGAAACCAUCCCAACUAUUGACACUGGCUAGAAAAGAGCUAACGGUAAUUGGAAGUUUAUUUCCAAAGCAAUGACUCAUAAUUCAAAAACUAAGUUGAGGCACAUAGUGCAUUAGGAAACACUAUUUCUUCUUUCUUAUAUUAGAACACACUGGCCUAGGAAGUAUAUCUGACUCCUCUCCCAUGAAAAGGUACGAGCCGAUGGCAGCUUUGCAGACACCUGCUGGUCAAGGCAGCACUCUUCCCCAAAGUUUCUUGUGG